RNAcentral lists this ribosomal RNA (2925 nucleotides) under Escherichia coli. RNAcentral describes it as "bacterial LSU rRNA". It matches the Rfam family "Bacterial large subunit ribosomal RNA". RNAcentral also lists the same sequence under 1 other name. Lineage: Bacteria; Pseudomonadati; Pseudomonadota; Gammaproteobacteria; Enterobacterales; Enterobacteriaceae. The record is from RNAcentral.
GGGUUGUGAGGUUAAGCGACUAAGCGUACACGGUGGAUGCCCUGGCAGUCAGAGGCGAUGAAGGACGUGCUAAUCUGCGAUAAGCGUCGGUGAGGUGAUAUGAACCGUUAUAACCGGCGAUUUCCGAAUGGGGAAACCCAGUGUGUUUCGACACACUAUCAUUAACUGAAUCCAUAGGUUAAUGAGGCGAACCGGGGGAACUGAAACAUCUAAGUACCCCGAGGAAAAGAAAUCAACCGAGAUUCCCCCAGUAGCGGCGAGCGAACGGGGAGGAGCCCAGAGCCUGAAUCAGUGUGUGUGUUAGUGGAAGCGUCUGGAAAGGCGUGCGAUACAGGGUGACAGCCCCGUACACAAAAAUGCACAUAUUGUGAGCUCGAUGAGUAGGGCGGGACACGUGGUAUCCUGUCUGAAUAUGGGGGGACCAUCCUCCAAGGCUAAAUACUCCUGACUGACCGAUAGUGAACCAGUACCGUGAGGGAAAGGCGAAAAGAACCCCGGCGAGGGGAGUGAAAAAGAACCUGAAACCGUGUACGUACAAGCAGUGGGAGCCUCUUAAUGGGGUGACUGCGUACCUUUUGUAUAAUGGGUCAGCGACUUAUAUUCUGUAGCAAGGUUAACCGAAUAGGGGAGCCGAAGGGAAACCGAGUCUUAACUGGGCGUUAAGUUGCAGGGUAUAGACCCGAAACCCGGUGAUCUAGCCAUGGGCAGGUUGAAGGUUGGGUAACACUAACUGGAGGACCGAACCGACUAAUGUUGAAAAAUUAGCGGAUGACUUGUGGCUGGGGGUGAAAGGCCAAUCAAACCGGGAGAUAGCUGGUUCUCCCCGAAAGCUAUUUAGGUAGCGCCUCGUGAAUUCAUCUCCGGGGGUAGAGCACUGUUUCGGCAAGGGGGUCAUCCCGACUUACCAACCCGAUGCAAACUGCGAAUACCGGAGAAUGUUAUCACGGGAGACACACGGCGGGUGCUAACGUCCGUCGUGAAGAGGGAAACAACCCAGACCGCCAGCUAAGGUCCCAAAGUCAUGGUUAAGUGGGAAACGAUGUGGGAAGGCCCAGACAGCCAGGAUGUUGGCUUAGAAGCAGCCAUCAUUUAAAGAAAGCGUAAUAGCUCACUGGUCGAGUCGGCCUGCGCGGAAGAUGUAACGGGGCUAAACCAUGCACCGAAGCUGCGGCAGCGACACUAUGUGUUGUUGGGUAGGGGAGCGUUCUGUAAGCCUGUGAAGGUGGCCUGUGAGGGUUGCUGGAGGUAUCAGAAGUGCGAAUGCUGACAUAAGUAACGAUAAAGCGGGUGAAAAGCCCGCUCGCCGGAAGACCAAGGGUUCCUGUCCAACGUUAAUCGGGGCAGGGUGAGUCGACCCCUAAGGCGAGGCCGAAAGGCGUAGUCGAUGGGAAACAGGUUAAUAUUCCUGUACUUGGUGUUACUGCGAAGGGGGGACGGAGAAGGCUAUGUUGGCCGGGCGACGGUUGUCCCGGUUUAAGCGUGUAGGCUGGUUUUCCAGGCAAAUCCGGAAAACCAAGGCUGAGGCGUGAUGACGAGGCACUACGGUGCUGAAGUGACAAAUGCCCUGCUUCCAGGAAAAGCCUCUAAGCAUCAGGUAACAUCAAAUCGUACCCCAAACCGACACAGGUGGUCAGGUAGAGAAUACCAAGGCGCUUGAGAGAACUCGGGUGAAGGAACUAGGCAAAAUGGUGCCGUAACUUCGGGAGAAGGCACGCUGAUAUGUAGGUGAAGCGACUUGCUCGUGGAGCUGAAAUCAGUCGAAGAUACCAGCUGGCUGCAACUGUUUAUUAAAAACACAGCACUGUGCAAACACGAAAGUGGACGUAUACGGUGUGACGCCUGCCCGGUGCCGGAAGGUUAAUUGAUGGGGUUAGCGGUAACGCGAAGCUCUUGAUCGAAGCCCCGGUAAACGGCGGCCGUAACUAUAACGGUCCUAAGGUAGCGAAAUUCCUUGUCGGGUAAGUUCCGACCUGCACGAAUGGCGUAAUGAUGGCCAGGCUGUCUCCACCCGAGACUCAGUGAAAUUGAACUCGCUGUGAAGAUGCAGUGUACCCGCGGCAAGACGGAAAGACCCCGUGAACCUUUACUAUAGCUUGACACUGAACAUUGAGCCUUGAUGUGUAGGAUAGGUGGGAGGCUUUGAAGUGUGGACGCCAGUCUGCAUGGAGCCGACCUUGAAAUACCACCCUUUAAUGUUUGAUGUUCUAACGUUGGCCCGUAAUCCGGGUUGCGGACAGUGUCUGGUGGGUAGUUUGACUGGGGCGGUCUCCUCCUAAAGAGUAACGGAGGAGCACGAAGGUUGGCUAAUCCUGGUCGGACAUCAGGAGGUUAGUGCAAUGGCAUAAGCCAGCUUGACUGCGAGCGUGACGGCGCGAGCAGGUGCGAAAGCAGGUCAUAGUGAUCCGGUGGUUCUGAAUGGAAGGGCCAUCGCUCAACGGAUAAAAGGUACUCCGGGGAUAACAGGCUGAUACCGCCCAAGAGUUCAUAUCGACGGCGGUGUUUGGCACCUCGAUGUCGGCUCAUCACAUCCUGGGGCUGAAGUAGGUCCCAAGGGUAUGGCUGUUCGCCAUUUAAAGUGGUACGCGAGCUGGGUUUAGAACGUCGUGAGACAGUUCGGUCCCUAUCUGCCGUGGGCGCUGGAGAACUGAGGGGGGCUGCUCCUAGUACGAGAGGACCGGAGUGGACGCAUCACUGGUGUUCGGGUUGUCAUGCCAAUGGCACUGCCCGGUAGCUAAAUGCGGAAGAGAUAAGUGCUGAAAGCAUCUAAGCACGAAACUUGCCCCGAGAUGAGUUCUCCCUGACUCCUUGAGGGUCCUGAAGGAACGUUGAAGACGACGACGUUGAUAGGCCGGGUGUGUAAGCGCAGCGAUGCGUUGAGCUAACCGGUACUAAUGAACCGUGAGGCUUAACCUUACAACGCCGAAG